This 329-nucleotide ribosomal RNA is filed under the name uncultured eukaryote. RNAcentral describes it as "partial 18S ribosomal RNA". It matches the Rfam family "Eukaryotic small subunit ribosomal RNA", at positions 1470 to 1796 of the family's 1831-position model. The record is from RNAcentral.
CUCUUCGAUGUUCUGGGCUGCACGCGCGCUACAGUGGCAAAGGCAGAGAGCAUGAAUUAAUUAUAGAGUCGCAUCGAGGGAUGUGACGAAUCAGCAAUCGUUGUCGUGAUUGGGAUUGAGCGUUGUAAUAUUUGCUCAUGAAAGAGGAAUUCCUCGUAAGCGCGAGUCACUAACUCGUGUUAAUUACGUCUCUGCCCUUUGUACACACCGCCCGUCGCUACUACCGAUUGAACUGGUUUUUGAAGUGUAGAGAUUGGCAGGCAUGGUUUACGUGCAUUGCAAAGAACCACUCUGAAAAAAUCGUUCGAGAAGAAGUAAAAGUCGUAACA